This 72-nucleotide transfer RNA is filed under the name Camelus dromedarius (Arabian camel). It matches the Rfam family "tRNA". Rfam says of the family: Transfer RNA (tRNA) molecules are approximately 80 nucleotides in length. Their secondary structure includes four short double-helical elements and three loops (D, anti-codon, and T loops). Lineage: Eukaryota; Metazoa; Chordata; Mammalia; Artiodactyla; Camelidae. RNAcentral also lists the same sequence under 1 other name. The record is from Rfam by way of RNAcentral.
GGCAGCACAGCUCAGCGGCAGAGCACAUGCCUAGCGCGUACGAGGUCCUGGGUUCAAUCCCCAGUACCUCCA